This 253-nucleotide ribosomal RNA is filed under the name uncultured bacterium. Its description in RNAcentral is "partial 16S ribosomal RNA". It matches the Rfam family "Bacterial small subunit ribosomal RNA", at positions 524 to 776 of the family's 1533-position model. The record is from RNAcentral.
UACGUAGGGUGCGAGCGUUGUCCGGAAUUACUGGGCGUAAAGAGCUCGUAGGUGGUUUGUCGCGUUGUUCGUGAAAACUCACAGCUUAACUGUGGGCGUGCGGGCGAUACGGGCAGACUGGAGUACUGCAGGGGAGACUGGAAUUCCUGGUGUAGCGGUGGAAUGCGUAGAUAUCGAGAGGAACACCUGCGGCGAAGGCGGGUUGCUGGGCUGACACUGACGCUGAUGCGCGAAAGCCAGGGGAGCGAACGGG